GAGGCAAUAAAUCUGCAGAGGAGCCAAAUAGCUCAGUUGCAUAAGCCAGAUUCCUGGCAAACUGCCCUAACUAAUCCAGACCUGCGGGAGCCAGAGCUGGAAUUAGAGAGGAGGCAUAAUGCGAUUUACUCUAUCAGGCUGAAAGCAAAAGAGAGUCAUUCUGCAGAUUGGAUUUCUGGGAAGCCGUGGGGGUUCUGGGUGCACCAUCUGUUCUAUCGACAGGUCACUAUUCGUAAUGGCAUAUGGUAUUGCUGAGAAGCCUGUCCCUGAAGCAUCUAGCCGGUGGCUAUGUUACCUGACCCCGAGAAGGGCCGGCUCUCAGGUGAUUCUGGGCUAGGACGCAGCAGCUUUGGAUUCGAUUCCUGUCUCUGACACAGUCCUCGGGAUGAAACCAAGCCCUUUUGGCAGCAUUUUAGAAACAAUGAGAGAAAAGAUUAAGAACAUAAGAACGGCCAGACUGGGUCAGACCAAAGGUCCAUCUAGCCCAGUAUCCUGUCUCCAACAGUGCCAGGUGCUCCAGAGGGAGUGAACAGAACAGGUCAUCAAGAGCCUGGGUCUCAGUUUGAUUAAAGCAGUCCCAGGAUCCCCAGCCGGCCUCACUGCAACGCUACAGAAACCAGAGAGGGGCCGGUACAAAAUGCAGCCCCUGUCUGGAGAAAAGCCCUCAGGCCCAGAGCUGCACAAGGACGAAGUCAAUGUGACACUGAGCGUCCCAACGCCUAACUUUUCAGUGCCUAGAAAACCACAGGAACAGCCUGGCGAUCCACCAAGCCUGAGUUAGCGGCUGUUGUGUAUUUGGUUGUCAUGGUUUUGUUGCUAUGGCAACUGAGUUAGAUUAUUAUGGGUUAGCUCAACCGGUUUCAACCGGUUGAGGAGCUCUCUGUAUAUAUGUAAAUAAA
This is a long non-coding RNA of Mauremys mutica (yellowpond turtle), 899 nucleotides long. RefSeq lists it as uncharacterized. The record is from RefSeq and is a predicted model, not a curated record. The transcript is spliced from 3 exons. NCBI's taxonomy places the organism in Eukaryota, Metazoa, Chordata, Testudines, Geoemydidae.